AAGGAUCAUUACAGAGUUCAUGCCCUUACGGGUAGAUCUCCCACCCUUUGAGUACUAUACUUUUGUUGCUUUGGCAGGCCGCUUCGGCUACCGGCUUCGGCUGGUGAGUGCCUGCCAGAGGACCCCAAAUUCUGAAUUAUAGUGUCGUCUGAGAACUAUAUAAUAGUUAAAACUUUCAACAACGGAUCUCUUGGUUCUG
RNAcentral lists this unclassified non-coding RNA (199 nucleotides) under uncultured fungus. Its description in RNAcentral is "partial contains 5.8S ribosomal RNA, internal transcribed spacer 2, and large subunit ribosomal RNA". Lineage: Eukaryota; Fungi. The record is from RNAcentral.